UCGAGGAUCUUCGGCAAUGGGCGCAAGCCUGACCGAGCGACGCCGCGUGUGCGAUGAAGGCCUUCGGGUUGUAAAGCACUGUCGAGGGGGAGGAAAGCCCGCAAGGGUCUGACUAAUCCCUGGAGGAAGCACGGGCUAAGUUCGUGCCAGCAGCCGCGGUAAGACGAACCGUGCAAACGUUGUUCGGAUUCACUGGGCUUAAAGGGCGCGUAGGCGGGUGGUCAAGUCAGGGGUGAAAUCUUUCAGCUCAACUGGAAAACAGCUUCUGAUACUGGCCAUCUUGAGGGAGGUAGGGGCAUGUGGAACUUCCGGUGGAGCGGUGAAAUGCGUAGAUAUCGGAAGGAACGCCGGUGGCGAAAGCGACGUGCUGGACCUUUUCUGACGCUGAGGCGCGAAAGCCAGGGGAGCAAACGG
This 414-nucleotide ribosomal RNA is filed under the name uncultured bacterium. Its description in RNAcentral is "bacterial SSU rRNA". It matches the Rfam family "Bacterial small subunit ribosomal RNA", at positions 355 to 775 of the family's 1533-position model. The record is from RNAcentral.